AGAGUUUGAUCAUGGCUCAGAUUGAACGCUGGCGGCAGGCCUAACACAUGCAAGUCGAGCGGAAACGAGUUAUCUGAACCUUCGGGGAACGAUAACGGCGUCGAGCGGCGGACGGGUGAGUAAUGCCUAGGAAAUUGCCCUGAUGUGGGGGAUAACCAUUGGAAACGAUGGCUAAUACCGCAUGAUGCCUACGGGCCAAAGAGGGGGACCUUCGGGCCUCUCGCGUCAGGAUAUGCCUAGGUGGGAUUAGCUAGUUGGUGAGGUAAUGGCUCACCAAGGCGACGAUCCCUAGCUGGUCUGAGAGGAUGAUCAGCCACACUGGAACUGAGACACGGUCCAGACUCCUACGGGAGGCAGCAGUGGGGAAUAUUGCACAAUGGGCGCAAGCCUGAUGCAGCCAUGCCGCGUGUGUGAAGAAGGCCUUCGGGUUGUAAAGCACUUUCAGUCGUGAGGAAGGUAGUGCAGUUAAUAGCUGCAUUAUUUGACGUUAGCGACAGAAGAAGCACCGGCUAACUCCGUGCCAGCAGCCGCGGUAAUACGGAGGGUGCGAGCGUUAAUCGGAAUUACUGGGCGUAAAGCGCAUGCAGGUGGUUUGUUAAGUCAGAUGUGAAAGCCCGGGGCUCAACCUCGGAAUAGCAUUUGAAACUGGCAGACUAGAGUACUGUAGAGGGGGGUAGAAUUUCAGGUGUAGCGGUGAAAUGCGUAGAGAUCUGAAGGAAUACCGGUGGCGAAGGCGGCCCCCUGGACAGAUACUGACACUCAGAUGCGAAAGCGUGGGGAGCAAACAGGAUUAGAUACCCUGGUAGUCCACGCCGUAAACGAUGUCUACUUGGAGGUUGUGGCCUUGAGCCGUGGCUUUCGGAGCUAACGCGUUAAGUAGACCGCCUGGGGAGUACGGUCGCAAGAUUAAAACUCAAAUGAAUUGACGGGGGCCCGCACAAGCGGUGGAGCAUGUGGUUUAAUUCGAUGCAACGCGAAGAACCUUACCUACUCUUGACAUCCAGAGAACUUUCCAGAGAUGGAUUGGUGCCUUCGGGAACUCUGAGACAGGUGCUGCAUGGCUGUCGUCAGCUCGUGUUGUGAAAUGUUGGGUUAAGUCCCGCAACGAGCGCAACCCUUAUCCUUGUUUGCCAGCGAGUAAUGUCGGGAACUCCAGGGAGACUGCCGGUGAUAAACCGGAGGAAGGUGGGGACGACGUCAAGUCAUCAUGGCCCUUACGAGUAGGGCUACACACGUGCUACAAUGGCGCAUACAGAGGGCAGCAAGCUAGCGAUAGUGAGCGAAUCCCAAAAAGUGCGUCGUAGUCCGGAUUGGAGUCUGCAACUCGACUCCAUGAAGUCGGAAUCGCUAGUAAUCGUGGAUCAGAAUGCCACGGUGAAUACGUUCCCGGGCCUUGUACACACCGCCCGUCACACCAUGGGAGUGGGCUGCAAAAGAAGUAGGUAGUUUAACCUUCGGGAGGACGCUUACCACUUUGUGGUUCAUGACUGGGGUGAAGUCGUAACAAGGUAGCGCUAGGGGAACCUGGCGCUG
RNAcentral lists this ribosomal RNA (1533 nucleotides) under Vibrio hyugaensis. RNAcentral's name for it is "bacterial SSU rRNA". It matches the Rfam family "Bacterial small subunit ribosomal RNA". The record is from RNAcentral. Lineage: Bacteria; Pseudomonadati; Pseudomonadota; Gammaproteobacteria; Vibrionales; Vibrionaceae.